This 23-nucleotide non-coding RNA is filed under the name Cricetulus griseus (Chinese hamster). Lineage: Eukaryota; Metazoa; Chordata; Mammalia; Rodentia; Cricetidae. The record is from RNAcentral.
UCAGUCUCAUGUAAGUCAGUUGC